GUCAUUUUUAUACGACCUCAAAAAUUAAAAAAAAUUUGGUCGUAUAUUGGUAUCACGUUGGCGUCGAUGUCGUCGUCCUUAGUCGUCGUUGUCCUUAGCCAUCAUCAUCGUCGUCCGAAGACAUUUGGUUUUUGCACUCUAACUUUAGUAAAAGUAAAUAGAAAUCUAUGAAAUUUAAACACAAGGUUUAGGACCAUAAAAAG
Molecule: long non-coding RNA, 203 nt
Filed under: Mytilus galloprovincialis (Mediterranean mussel)
Lineage: Eukaryota; Metazoa; Mollusca; Bivalvia; Mytilida; Mytilidae
Source: RNAcentral